GGAGGGCCAUUCACAAGGAGCAAUAAUGUUCAGCGGCCCUGUCCUCCUCCUGGCUCCCACUCUGGGGCCGGUCUGUCCUUUGCCUGGAGUUGACUGGUUGCCCCUCUUGAUUCCUUCUUCCUAAUCUCAGUUGUCAUGAGUGAAGCAGCCACUGGUUAAGAAGAAUGAGAAGUGUGUCCAAGUGCUCAUCUCAGGUUGUCACUCCUCUCCUGACCCCUCUCUCUUCAACUCCACAGAUCCUGGACACUUUGAGGACCAUUGUGUUAGCUGGCCUAAGCUUGGACCACCUUCCUGAAACUGAGUGGAAGUCAGUUCAUCACCUGGGCUGCUGGGUCCUCUAGUGUGGCACCAGGUUUUUAAGAGAUGUGAACAGUCUAAAUCCCUGAUAACUCCUGCUAUGGCUGCUGCAUGCCCGAGGUCAUCCCGAUCCUGCAGCGGCCAUGAACGGUUUCAACCCACAGCACCUGGCAAAGCUUGCCUGGCUCUGACUGCAUUUUCAGGAGGGCCAGGAAUCCCAGGCAGCUAGCAGCUUAGAAAAGAUUUGGUUUUAUUUUAGUAUGUGUGUUUAUGUGCAUGCCUGGGUUGAUGGUUGGCUUCAAGGACAAGAUGGUAUCCCCACUACUACACACUGGCAUCAUGUAGUCCCUAUGAUUGGGCACAUCCCUGAGGAGGUGGAAGAAUUCUGCACUGACUCAGUUGGACUUUUAUAUUCUUACAGUGAAAUGAUGGCCUCACACUGAAAUAAACUUGACUUCUGAUGCAAUGAGGCAAUCUUUGGGACUGGCACAGGACAUCGAGGACUAUGAUUCAUGCCUGCUGCACAUAUUACAAUAAAGUCCUUUUCUUCAGGA
Peromyscus californicus insignis is the source of this 851-nucleotide long non-coding RNA. RefSeq lists it as uncharacterized. The record is from RefSeq and is a predicted model, not a curated record. The transcript has 3 exons. Lineage: Eukaryota; Metazoa; Chordata; Mammalia; Rodentia; Cricetidae.